RNAcentral lists this microRNA precursor (63 nucleotides) under Scyliorhinus torazame (cloudy catshark). RNAcentral describes it as "Sto-Mir-30-P1a_pre stem-loop". It matches the Rfam family "mir-30 microRNA precursor family", at positions 1 to 60 of the family's 77-position model. Rfam says of the family: This family consists of the mammalian microRNA (miRNA) precursor mir-30a. Animal miRNAs are transcribed as ~70nt precursors and subsequently processed by the Dicer enzyme to give a ~22nt product. Lineage: Eukaryota; Metazoa; Chordata; Chondrichthyes; Carcharhiniformes; Scyliorhinidae. The record is from RNAcentral.
UGUAAACAUCCCCGACUGGAAGCUGUAAAAUAGUUCUCCAGCUUUCAGUCAGAUGUUUGCGAC